GAUGAACGCUGGCGGCGUGCCUAAUACAUGCAAGUCGAGCGAACAGACGAGGAGCUUGCUCCUCUGACGUUAGCGGCGGACGGGUGAGUAACACGUGGAUAACCUACCUAUAAGACUGGGAUAACUUCGGGAAACCGGAGCUAAUACCGGAUAAUAUAUUGAACCGCAUGGUUCAAUAGUGAAAGACGGUUUUGCUGUCACUUAUAGAUGGAUCCGCGCCGCAUUAGCUAGUUGGUAAGGUAACGGCUUACCAAGGCAACGAUGCGUAGCCGACCUGAGAGGGUGAUCGGCCACACUAGAACUGAGACACGGUCCAGACUACUACGGGAGGCAGCAGUAGGGAAUCUUCCGCAAUGGGCGAAAGCUUGACGGAGCAACGCCGCGUGAGUGAUGAAGGUCUUCGGAUCGUAAAACUCUGUUAUUAGGGAAGAACAAAUGUGUAAGUAACUAUGCACGUCUUGACGGUACCUAAUCAGAAAGCCACGGCUAACUACGUG
RNAcentral lists this ribosomal RNA (497 nucleotides) under uncultured bacterium. RNAcentral describes it as "partial 16S ribosomal RNA". It matches the Rfam family "Bacterial small subunit ribosomal RNA", at positions 28 to 507 of the family's 1533-position model. The record is from RNAcentral.